GCCCGCUUAGCUCAGUGGUAGAGCGCGUCACUAGUACCUCCCGCGCUUGCGGACGACUUUCCAGUCAUGACGAGGUCGGUUGUUCGAUCCAGCCAGCGGGCA
Molecule: transfer RNA, 102 nt
Filed under: Malassezia vespertilionis
Lineage: Eukaryota; Fungi; Basidiomycota; Malasseziomycetes; Malasseziales; Malasseziaceae
Rfam family: tRNA
About the family: Transfer RNA (tRNA) molecules are approximately 80 nucleotides in length. Their secondary structure includes four short double-helical elements and three loops (D, anti-codon, and T loops).
Source: Rfam by way of RNAcentral